This 584-nucleotide ribosomal RNA is filed under the name uncultured cyanobacterium. Its description in RNAcentral is "bacterial SSU rRNA". It matches the Rfam family "Bacterial small subunit ribosomal RNA", at positions 99 to 716 of the family's 1533-position model. The record is from RNAcentral. Lineage: Bacteria; Bacillati; Cyanobacteriota.
CGGACGGGUGAGUAACGCGUGAGAAUCUGCCUUCAGGUUCGGGACAACCACUGGAAACGGUGGCUAAUACCGAAUGUGCAGAGAUGUGAAAUAUUAAUAGCCUGAAGAUGAGCUCGCGUCUGAUUAGCUAGUAGGUGUGGUAAAAGCGCACCUAGGCGACGAUCAGUAGCUGGUCUGAGAGGAUGAUCAGCCACACUGGGACUGAGACACGGCCCAGACUCCUACGGGAGGCAGCAGUGGGGAAUUUUCCGCAAUGGGCGAAAGCCUGACGGAGCAAUACCGCGUGAGGGAGGAAGGCUCUUGGGUUGUAAACCUCUUUUCUCAAGGAAGAACACAAUGACGGUACUUGAGGAAUAAGCAUCGGCUAACUCCGUGCCAGCAGCCGCGGUAAUACGGAGGAUGCAAGCGUUAUCCGGAAUGAUUGGGCGUAAAGCGUCCGCAGGUGGCUAUGUAAGUCUGCUGUUAAAUAGUCUAGCUCAACUAGAUAAAGGCAGUGGAAACUACAUGGCUAGAGUGCGUUCGGGGCAGAGGGAAUUCCUGGUGUAGCGGUGAAAUGCGUAGAGAUCAGGAAGAACACCGGUGGC